UGGAGAGUUUGAUUCUGGCUCAGGACUAACGUUGGCGGCGUGCCUAAUACAUGCAAGUCGAACGGGAUACUUAGCAGCAAUGUUAAGUGUUCAGUGGCAAACGGGUGAGUAAUGCAUAGGUAACAUACCUUAAAGACGGGGACAACUAUCCGAAAGGAUAGCUAAUACCGGAUGUGAUUGCGGGAUCUCAAGGUUCUGCAAUUAAAGGGCGGCCUCUAUUUAUAAGCUGUCGCUUUAAGAUUGGCCUAUGUCCCAUCAGCUAGUUGGUAGGGUAAUGGCCUACCAAGGCUGCAACGGGUAGCCGGCCUGAGAGGGCGAUCGGCCACACUGGAACUGCGACACGGUCCAGACUCCUACGGGAGGCAGCAGUAGGGAAUUUUCCACAAUGCCCGCAAGGGUGAUGGAGCGACGCCGCGUGAGGGAUGAAGGUCUUCGGAUUGUAAACCUCUUUCGUUUGGGAAUAAGGUUUCAGCACUAAUAUUGCUGAAAUUUGACGGUACCGAAGGAAGAAGCUACGGCUAACUCUGUGCCAGCAGCCGCGGUAAUACAGAGGUAGCGAACGUUGUCCGGAUUUACUGGGCGUAAAGGGCUUGUAGGUGGCCAUAUAAGUCAGUUGUGAAAUCGUUCUGCUUAACAGAACAAUUGCUUCUGAUACUGUAUGGCUUGAGUGCAGGAAGGGAAAAUGGAAUUUCCGGUGUAGCGGUGAAAUGCGUAGAUAUCGGAAAGAACACCUGUGGCGAAGGCGGUUUUCUGGCCUGCAACUGACACUGAGGAGCGAAAGCUAGGGGAGCAAACAGGAUUAGAUACCCUGGUAGUCCUAGCUGUAAACGGUGUACAUUAGGUGUGGGAGAUUCAUUUCUUCCGUGCCGACGCUAACGCAUUAAAUGUACCGCCUGGGAACUACGGCCGCAAGGUUGAAACUCAAAGAAAUUGACGGGGAUCCGCACAAGUGGUGGAGCAUGUGGUUUAAUUCGACGCUACGCGAAGAACCUUACCUGGGCUUGACAUUCUUAUGAUCGCUUUGUGAAAGCUUAGCUUUCUGCCCGCAAGGGUAGACAUUUGAACAGGUGUUGCAUGGUUGUCGUCAGCUCGUGCCGUGAGGUGUUGGGUUUAGUCCUCUAACGAGCGCAACCCCUAUUGCUAGUUGCCAGCGGGUAAUGCCGGGAACUCUAGCGAGACUGCCUGGGAUAACCAGGAGGAAGGAGGGGAUGACGUCAAAUCAUCAUGGCCCUUAUGUCCAGGGCUACACACGUGCUACAAUGGCAGAUACAAAGGGUCGCAAAAUCGCGAGAUGGAGCCAAUCCCAAAAAGUCUGCCUCAGUUCGGAUUACAGUCUGCAACUCGACUGUAUGAAGCUGGAAUCACUAGUAAUCGCGGGUCAGCUACACCGCGGUGAAUACGUUCCCGGGUCUUGUACACACCGCCCGUCACGCUACGAAAGUUGUUUGUACCAGAAAACUCUGAUUCAACCGCAAGGAGAUAGGAGGCUAAGGUAUGAGCAAUGAUUGGAGCGAAGUCGUAACAAGGUAGUCGUACCGGAAGGUGCGGCUGGAUCACCUCCUUUCUAAGGA
RNAcentral lists this ribosomal RNA (1571 nucleotides) under Candidatus Goldiibacteriota bacterium HGW-Goldbacteria-1. Its description in RNAcentral is "bacterial SSU rRNA". It matches the Rfam family "Bacterial small subunit ribosomal RNA". The record is from RNAcentral. Lineage: Bacteria; Candidatus Goldiibacteriota.